Molecule: ribosomal RNA, 274 nt
Filed under: uncultured bacterium
Lineage: Bacteria
Description: partial 16S ribosomal RNA
Rfam family: Bacterial small subunit ribosomal RNA
Source: RNAcentral
AUACGGAGGGUGCAAGCGUUAUCCGGAUUUAUUGGGUUUAAAGGGUUCGUAGGCGGAUCAAUAAGUCAGUGGUGAAAGCCUGUGGCUCAACCAUAGAACUGCCAUUGAUACUGUUGAUCUUGAGUACACUUGAAGUGGGCGGAAUGCGUCAUGUAGCGGUGAAAUGCAUAGAUAUGACGCAGAACACCGAUUGCGAAGGCAGCUCACUAAAUUGUAACUGACGCUGAGGAACGAAAGCGUGGGGAGCGAACAGGAUUAGAUACCCGAGUAGUCC